ACGGAGGGUGCGAGCGUUGUCCGGAAUCACUGGGCGUAAAGGGCGCGUAGGCGGCGCGAGGAGUCGGGGGUGAAAGUCCGGGGCUCAACCCCGGAUCGGCCUUCGAUACUCUCGCGCUGGAGCACAGUAGAGGCGGGUGGAAUUCCGGGUGUAGCGGUGAAAUGCGCAGAUAUCAGGAGGAACACCGGUGGCGAAGGCGGAUCUCUGGGCCUUACCUGACGCUGAGGCGCGAAAGCUAGGGGAGCAAACAGGA
This 253-nucleotide ribosomal RNA is filed under the name uncultured prokaryote. RNAcentral's name for it is "partial 16S ribosomal RNA". It matches the Rfam family "Bacterial small subunit ribosomal RNA", at positions 525 to 777 of the family's 1533-position model. The record is from RNAcentral.